Molecule: ribosomal RNA, 708 nt
Filed under: Triticum aestivum (bread wheat)
Lineage: Eukaryota; Viridiplantae; Streptophyta; Magnoliopsida; Poales; Poaceae
Description: partial small subunit ribosomal RNA
Source: RNAcentral
AUGUCUAGCGCUAAUCCUAGCGAGAUUGAUCCAUUUGACAGUGUCUACUCAAACAUCCCAGAUAGCACUCACAUCCUGAAACUCGCUGAAAAUUGCAAACACUGCAAGGCCAGGAAGUUUGAGUUUGAGACUGACGGGUUCUGCUGUCGCAAUGGCCAGAUUCAGCUUAAGAAACCGGAACCAAACCCAGAGCUUAUGAGGCUAUGGUCGAGCAUGGAUGCAGAUUCUAGACAUUUUCGAGAGAACAUACGGUUCUUCAACGGGCAUUUCGCCUUCACAACCCUUGGCGUCAGCCUUGAUGAAAACUACACAAACAUGAAGUCUGAGGUGUACACAUUCCGAGCACACGGCACCAUCUACCACAACGUGCAUUCGUUCGGGCCAAGCUCCCGUCCAGAACAUCUGCAGUUGUACUUCUAUGAUGACGACCCAAACCUAACUCAUCGUAAGGCGGCCACCAAGCAAUUAGACCAGGAUGUCGUGAAGGGUUUGGUAGACAUACUCAAAGAAAACCCAUACUCCCAGCAAUUUAGGAGUUUGGGUGCACACAAGGACAACCUCGAUGAUUAUAGGAUAGACCUAAACACCGAUAAGAGGCUUGACCAAAGAAGAUAUAAUAGACCGGUGUCAUCUGAGGUCGCUGCAAUUUGGGUUGAGGGCAAUGACCUAGCCAAAAGGUUUGACCGCAGGAUAACACUUUGUGGUUAG